This 1107-nucleotide ribosomal RNA is filed under the name human gut metagenome. Its description in RNAcentral is "bacterial SSU rRNA". It matches the Rfam family "Bacterial small subunit ribosomal RNA", at positions 412 to 1520 of the family's 1533-position model. The record is from RNAcentral.
CGGCCUUCGGGUUGUAAAAUUCUGUGGCGAGGAACGAAUGGCAAGGAGAGGAAAUGCUCUUUGUUUGACGGUACCUCGCUAGAAAGCCACGGCUAACUACGUGCCAGCAGCCGCGGUAAUACGUAGGUGGCAAGCGUUAUCCGGAAUUAUUGGGCGUAAAGAGUGAGCAGGCGGUUUUUUAAGUCUGAAGUCAAAUCCUGUGGCUCAACCACAGUUCGCUUUGGAAACUGAAGAACUAGAGUGCGGGAGAGGUAAGCGGAAUUCCAUAUGUAGCGGUGAAAUGCACAGAUAUAUGGAGGAACACCGGUGGCGAAGGCGGCUUACCAGCCCGAUACUGACGCUCAGUCACGAAAGCGUGGGGAGCAAAUAGGCUUAGAUACCCUAGUAGUCCACGCCGUAAACGUUGAGGACCUGAUGCCGGAGUAUUUCGGUGUCGUAGCUAACGCGUUAAGUCCUCCGCCUGGGUACUACGUUCGCAAGAAUAAAACUUAAAGGAAUUGACGGGGGCCCGCACAAGCAGUGGAGCAUGUGGUUUAAUUCGUCGCUACGCGAAAAACCUUACCAGGGUUUGACAUCCCGCUAAAAGUCUUGGAAACAAGAUCAUAGUUAUAGCGGUGAAAGGUGGUGCAUGGUUGUCGUCAGCUCGUGUCGUGAGAUGUUGGGUUAAGUCCCCUAACGAGCGCAACCCUUGUCUCUAUUUGCCAUCAUUAAGUUGGGAACUAUAGAGAGACUGCCGGUGCAAACCGGAGGAAGAUGGGGAUGACGUCAAAUCAUCAUGCCCCUUAUGCCCUGGGCCACACACGUGCUACAAUGGCCGGUACAGAGAGAAGCAAUCCCGUGAGGAGGAGCAAAUCUCACAAAGCCGGUCUCAGUUCGGAUUGGAGUCUGCAACUCGACUCCAUGAAGCUGGAAUUGCUAGUAAUCGCAGAUCAGCAUUGCUGCGGUGAAUACGUUCCCGGGCCUUGUACACACUGCCCGUCACACCAUGAGAGUCGGCAAUACUCGAAGUCGUUAUCUUAACCCGUAAUAAGGGAGGGAGGCGCCUAAGGUAGGGCUGAUGAUUGGGGUUAAGUCGUAACAAGGUAUCCCUACGGGAACGUGGGGAUG